This 622-nucleotide long non-coding RNA is filed under the name Salmo trutta (river trout). RNAcentral describes it as "lncRNA (ENSSTUG00000045367.1)". Lineage: Eukaryota; Metazoa; Chordata; Actinopteri; Salmoniformes; Salmonidae. The record is from RNAcentral.
AUGAAGACAGGCAGAAACUGCUUCGCCGAUAGAAAUCUCCGAUCAGGAAUUUUAGGUGGCGACAUUGGCUCAUGCUGUAGAAACACAUUAUCGGGUCUAACGGUCGUCUCGCACCGAACUAUGCAUGUGCAGGCCAUCAAAUCAAAGGCCCCAGGCAGCCCUGCAGUUGGACUCGUUUGUGAAUCUGAUCCUCUGCAUGUCUGAGAUGAUUCUCUAGUCCCACUGGGCGGCAGGUAGUCUAGCAGAUUCAAAGAACAGCCCAAACACUGAAAGAGAAAACUGAUGAAUAAAUGAUGAAGUGGCAUUUUGUGUGACAACACGGCAGCAAGGCUCGGCCAGAGAGGAAGUUGACACUGUUACCGACCGUCAGUCCUUCUCGGUUUGGCAGACGAUUUUUGUGGGGAUAUCAUUUUCGAUGUGGAAGUGCACGCACUGUGGGUGAAGUCUGAAGUUCAUAUGGUUACAAAUGGUUGGUUUUAAAAAGCACGAGAAAAAAAAUCUCUUUAAAUAUUCAUGUCGCACAACCACAAGGCAGUAAAAACAAAACGUGAGCCUUCAAAUUGGCAGUAAAUGUAAGGUAUCGAAACUACCAAGUUAGACCACACCCGUCUGAAGUGAGGAA